GCGGGGGUGGCGGAACGGCAGACGCGCCAGAUUUAGGAUCUGGUGGGGAUAGCCCGUGCGGGUUCAAGUCCCGCCUCCCGCA
Molecule: transfer RNA, 82 nt
Filed under: Caldifarciminota bacterium
Lineage: Bacteria; Pseudomonadati; Caldifarciminota
Description: candidate division WOR-3 bacterium (hot springs metagenome) tRNA-Leu
Rfam family: tRNA
About the family: Transfer RNA (tRNA) molecules are approximately 80 nucleotides in length. Their secondary structure includes four short double-helical elements and three loops (D, anti-codon, and T loops).
Source: RNAcentral